RNAcentral lists this long non-coding RNA (160 nucleotides) under Callithrix jacchus (white-tufted-ear marmoset). RNAcentral describes it as "lncRNA (ENSCJAG00000061297.2)". Lineage: Eukaryota; Metazoa; Chordata; Mammalia; Primates; Cebidae. The record is from RNAcentral.
AUACUAAAGAAGUCUCAUGAGAUCUGAUGGUUUUAAAGAUAGGAGUUUUCCCGCACAAGCUCUCUCUUUUUGCCUGUUGCCAUCCAUGUCAGAUGUAACUCGUUCCUCCUUGUCUUCCACCAUGAUUGUGAGGCCUCUCCAGCCACAUGGAACUGUUUGA